CCCAGCGCUUCGCACUGGGCUCAUAUCUUUCGCACUUUCAGUGCU
Molecule: small RNA, 45 nt
Rfam family: Acido-Lenti-1 RNA
Source: Rfam